Molecule: long non-coding RNA, 371 nt
Filed under: Scleropages formosus (Asian bonytongue)
Lineage: Eukaryota; Metazoa; Chordata; Actinopteri; Osteoglossiformes; Osteoglossidae
Description: lncRNA (ENSSFOG00015033351.1)
Source: RNAcentral
UGUGUGGUUUAUGCUUCUGUUGCAGAGCAUGGAGUGGUCUGAUUUGUUUGUGGGUGUCUGCAUGUCCCUGUGCAUAAGAGAGUCUCCAUGAUGUAUAAUCCUCCAGCAGUUGGUGUAUAAUGGUCUCUCUCUGCACAGAGCAAUGCGCAGUGUGUGGAGCCAGCUGCAGUUACCUCCCUAUUUCUGAAAAGAUGAAGCCACAGGAACAGGUUUACUUUCAUGACCCAGUUAAGCUCGUUCAGUCUCGCCUGGAGCACAUUUCCCAGAUAGCCGUAUUCCAAUCCAGGCAAAAGGAAAGAGUCGCUGCAUACUUCAAGGAAAAGUCUAUGGAACAGGAGAGGAGGUUGAAAGAGGUCAUGGAGCAAAGCCAC